UUCGAUUUUUCUGGAUUUUUUGAAUUUUUUUCUUACGGCCUCUAAAAUUUUACACUUGUUACUAGGGGACCUGCACGGAACGACUUCCGCGUGGAGGUUACUCCGUUUUUUCUGGAUCGUUCCUGUGACGCGUGUGGGGCUUGUGUCCUGGUUUGUUCCUGUGCACAAUUUUUUUUACCUCUCCAAGCGUUUUAUACGUUUCAGAUUUGUUUUUUCUUUCACUGCUUUGACUGGGUUGGAUCUGAUCUCUACCGCUUUGACCAAUUCUUUCUUUGCUCGCCACGUAUGUGUUUGUAUGUCGAUUUCUUGUUGCACCGAUUUUUCCGGGAUCUUCUCGUGCGCUGUGGCCGGCUAUAAAUAUGCUCUCGUGGUGUUCUUUCUUCUCCCCGUCUCGGUCCUUUCCUUUGGGUGGUGAUAUGUCUGGUGGGUCUGUCCAUGGUGAUCGGCGUGCCGAUCGGCCGCCGCUGGUGCCUUCUUCGGUUCAUGCAUCCAGCCGUGGAUCUUCUGAUCGGUCUAUUCCUGUCUCUCCAUCGCCGGUCGCCGAUCCAAUGCCGCCUGCCUCCCCCUCUACCCCUUUCCCGGCGGCGGGAUAAUAUCAGUAUCCGGUUCCCUUUGACAGUUUUGGUGGAUGGGGCGGCGUUGUGGUGGAAGGAUCUGGACAUCGUUCGAGGCCCAUGUGAAAGAAAUUAUGUGCAGGCUGCUGGUAACCGCUGACGCCGAGGCCAUCCACCGCGUGGAGGACUUCUUCGGCAUUUCCGGCGCGUUGUGGGUUGAGCUUCUGCAGCCCGCUGCCUGCUGGACGCUUCUUCCCUUUAUCCUUGGUGUACAAGACAUGUUCUUUCUAAAAGCGAUGCCCACUGAUGUGUUUGAUACUUCGACUUUGACACCUUUUUAUCCAGUUUGAGGUAUUCCAGUGAUCUUAUCAUGUUAGCUUUCUUAUAAGUGUUCUUCUACGGGUAUCGAAGAAAUUUUAUCUUGAGCAAAGAGAGCUUUCUUCCAUAUUAGGUCGCUUUAGAGGGUUAGUAGUAAGGGAGUUCCUACCAAGACCGACUUAUGAAAGUUAUGCUAGCUCCAUCAGUCGUGGAGCAGCAACUGCACCAGUGUCCCUGCCAUGGUGGCGAUAUGGACGGCACCACCAUAACCACGUUAAUGGUCCAAGCCCGAGAUUUGGAAGCAGGCAGGCCAUGGCAGGGCAUUGGUUUCUUGGCAGGCCAUGGCAGGGCAUUGAUUUCUUGGAUCAGUUUGCAUCAGGAUCGUGUGAAGUAUGCUUAGUAGCCAUGGCU
Non-coding RNA from Aegilops tauschii subsp. strangulata, 1283 nucleotides. NCBI's taxonomy places the organism in Eukaryota, Viridiplantae, Streptophyta, Magnoliopsida, Poales, Poaceae. The record is from RefSeq and is a predicted model, not a curated record.